This 2562-nucleotide ribosomal RNA is filed under the name Triticum aestivum (bread wheat). RNAcentral describes it as "partial small subunit ribosomal RNA". Lineage: Eukaryota; Viridiplantae; Streptophyta; Magnoliopsida; Poales; Poaceae. The record is from RNAcentral.
AUGUCUCCAUCAACAGUGAACUCUCAGGUUUUUUUACCAGAAUUUCCAAAUGGGACUUCGUUGGAGAUUUUGAAUCUACAGUUAACAAAUUUCUCUAGUAUCAAGCUGAGUUAUUUUAGCAACCACCUGUAUCUUAAAGAGCUAGGUCUUGAUGCGAGGUCAAUUUCUGUCGAGGCUAAUGGUUUAUUGUUCAGCAAGCUCAACUCUUUGCAAAAUUUGCAGAUCUCUUUUGCACAAUUUUCUAGGGAGUUAGGGCCACUUUUCGCAUGGAUUGGUAACCUUAAGAAGUUGACAAUCUUGCAACUCUCUUAUUGCUAUUCGUCCAAGAUAAUGCCCCCUUUGAUUGGCAACCUCACCAACUUGACAAGUUUGGAAAUUACUAAAUGUGGAUUUAUUGGGAAAAUACCACUAUCAAUUGGCAACCUCAACAAGUUGACUUCCUUGAAAAUUUCUGAUUGUGCCUUCUCUGGAACAAUACCAUCUUCAGUUGGCAAUCUUAAGAAACUAAGAAGCUUGGUAAUCACUGACACUGGCUUAUCAGGUCGAAUACCAGCAGAUAUUGGACAUCUCAGCAGAUUGAAGGUCUUAAUAUUAGCAGGCUGCAAGUUUUCUGGUAGAAUACCAAGUACAAUUGUUAACUUGACUCAACUCAUUGUGGUGAAUCUUUCACAGAAUUUCCUCCGAGGAGGGAUUCCAACAUCUCUAUUCACUUCUCCAACAAUGUUAAUGUUGGAUUUAUCAUCAAACCAACUUUCUGGACAAAUACAAGAGAUUGAUACACUAGAUUCACAGUUAACAUUGGUUUUUUUGAGUGAAAAUAAAUUUAGUGGAAAGAUUCCUGCAUCAUUCUUUAUACUCACAAAUUUGGUGGGCCUUGAUCUUAGCUCAAACAACAUAACAGGUUUGGUACAAUUCAGUUCACUCUGGAGGUUACCAAAGCUUGCUUAUUUGGGUCUCUCAAACAAUAGGUUGUCUGUCUUGGAUGGAGAAGACAACAAAUCAGCAGUGCCCUUACUACCUAAACUCUCAAUUUUAGUACUUGCGUCUUGCAACAUGACAAAAAUUCCUUAUUUAUUGCGGCAUAUUAAUCAUAUCCAAGUAUUGGACCUUUCAAGCAACAAAAUACAAGGGACAGUACCCCACUGGAUAUGGGAGAAAUGGGAUGAUAGCCUUACACAAUUGAAUCUUUCAAACAACAUAUUCACACAUAUGCAACUCGCUUCAUAUGUUCUCCCAUACAAUCAUUUGAGAUCUCUAGAUUUAAGUUCCAAUAGACUUCAAGGCCAGAUUCCGAUGCCAAACUUGUUGACAGCGGUUUACACCAACACACAAUUCCUGGAUUACUCGAACAAUAGAUUCUCUUCUAUUAUGUCAAACUUCACUGCUUAUCUUCGCCAAACAGCUUAUCUCAAGUUGUCAAAAAAUAACAUUAGUGGCCAGAUACUGCAUUCAAUUUGCGAUGUAAGCAACCUCGAAGUCCUUGACCUGUCAUAUAACAACUUCAGUGGGUUCAUGCCAUCCUGCAUGAUAGAAGGCACCAGCUUGGUCGUAUUAAAUAUAAGGGAGAAUUACUUCGAAGGAAAUUUGCCGGAUAAUUUUAGUGACCACUGCAAUCUUCAAACAAUAGAUUUACAUGGCAACAAGUUUGAAGGUACGCUGCCUAGGUCUCUUUCAAACUGCUCUGACUUGGAGGUUCUUGACAUUGGAAACAAUCAAAUUGUUGAUACUUUCCCAUCCUGGGUGAGUAGGCUUUCCAAUCUGCGUGUCCUUGUUUUUAGAUCCAACCACUUCUAUGGCUCACUUGCUUAUCCUCCCAGCAAUAACAAAUUUGGGGAAUGCUUCUCAAAGUUACAAAUAAUUGAUAUUGCCUCAAAUAACUUCUCUGGCAAUUUGGAUCCACGAUGGUUUGAGAAUUUGCCAUCUAUGAUGGAUAAGUCAAAUGAUAAAGGACAACUCUUAGGCCAUCUGAUGACGCACAAUAAUGUAUACUACCAUGAUACUGUUGCAAUCACAUACAAAGGUCAAUAUGUGACAUUUGGAAAAAUAUUGACUGCGUUAACAGCAAUUGACUUCUCAAAUAAUGCAUUGGAUGGUGACAUUCCUGAAUCAACUGGAAGGCUAUUUUCUCUACAUAUACUGAGCAUGUCACAUAAUGCAUUUACAGGGAGGAUUCCACCACUAAUUGGUGGUAUGAGCCAGUUGGAAUCACUAGACCUGUCCUGGAACGAGCUUUCUGGGGAGAUUCCACAAGAGCUAACAAAUUUAACAUUUCUUGGUACCCUAAACUUGUGCGGAAACAAGCUGGAUGGAAGGAUACCACAGUCACGUCAGUUUGCCACAUUUGAGAACACUUCAUAUGAAGGGAAUACAGGGCUCUGUGGGCCACCUUUGACCAAACCAUGUGGCGAUUCAAGUAACCCAAAUGAGGUGCAAGUAAACACAUCGGGAGAUCAUGUUGAUAUCAUUUUGUUUCUCUUUGUUGGGGUGGGCUUUGGCGUUGGAUUCACAGCAGGUAUUCUGAUGAAAUGGGGGAAAAUAGGCAAAUGGUUGCAGAUUGCGUGA